CCUACGGGAGGCAGCAGUGAGGAAUAUUGGUCAAUGGACGAGAGUCUGAACCAGCCAAGUAGCGUGACGGAUGACUGCCCUAUGGGUUGUAAACUUCUUUUAUAUGGGAAUAAAACGUUCCACGUGUGGGAUUUUGUAUGUACCAUAUGAAUAAGGAUCGGCUAACUCCGUGACAGCAGCCGCGGUAAUACGGAGGAUCCGAGCGUUGUCCGGAUUUAUUGGGUUUAAAGGGAGCGUAGGUGGAUUGUUAAGUCAGUUGUGAAAGUUUGCGGCUCAACCGUAGAAUUGCAGUUGAAACUGGAAGUCUUGAGUACAGUAGAGGUGGGCGGAAUUCGUGGUGUAGCGGUGAAAUGCUUAGAUAUCACGAAGAACUCCGAUUGCGAAGGCAGGUGACUGGACUGCAACUGACACUGAGGCUCGAAAGUGUGGGUAUCAAACAGGAUUAGAUACCCUUGUAGUC
RNAcentral lists this ribosomal RNA (460 nucleotides) under uncultured bacterium. Its description in RNAcentral is "partial 16S ribosomal RNA". It matches the Rfam family "Bacterial small subunit ribosomal RNA", at positions 338 to 795 of the family's 1533-position model. The record is from RNAcentral.